This 440-nucleotide ribosomal RNA is filed under the name uncultured bacterium. RNAcentral's name for it is "partial 16S ribosomal RNA". It matches the Rfam family "Bacterial small subunit ribosomal RNA", at positions 339 to 795 of the family's 1533-position model. The record is from RNAcentral.
CUACGGGAGGCUGCAGUAAGGAAUAUUGCACAAUGGGGGAAACCCUGAUGCAGCAACGCCGCGUGGACGAAGAAGGCCUUCGGGUCGUAAAGUCCUUUUCUGAGGGAAGAGGAAGGACGGUACCUCAGGAAUAAGUCUCGGCUAACUACGUGCCAGCAGCCGCGGUAAAACGUAGGAGGCGAGCGUUAUCCGGAUUCACUGGGCGUAAAGGGCAUGUAGGCGGUUGUUUAAGUUAGGUGUGACAUCUCUCGGCUUAACUGGGAGGGAGCGCUUAAAACUAGGCAACUAGAGGGCGGAAGAAGGGGGUAGAACUCCAAAUGUAGCGGUGGAAUGCUCAGAUAUUUGGAAGAAUACCAGUGGCGAAGGCGACCCCCCGGUCCGUGCCUGACGCUGAGAGGCGAAAGCUAGGGUAGCGAACGGGAUUAGAUACCCGCGUAGUC